Molecule: ribosomal RNA, 453 nt
Filed under: uncultured bacterium
Lineage: Bacteria
Description: bacterial SSU rRNA
Rfam family: Bacterial small subunit ribosomal RNA
Source: RNAcentral
UACGGGAGGCAGCAGUGGGGAAUAUUGCACAAUGGGCGCAAGCCUGAUGCAGCCAUGCCGCGUGUAUGAAAAGGCCUUCGGGUUGUAAAGUACUUUCAGUCGUGAGGAAGGUGUUAAGGUUAAUAACCUUAGCAAUUGACGUUAGCGACAGAAGAAGCACCGGCUAACUCCGUGCCAGCAGCCGCGGUAAUACGGAGGGUGCGAGCGUUAAUCGGAAUUACUGGGCGUAAAGGGCACGCAGGCGGUUAAUUAAGUUGGAUGUGAAAUCCCCGGGCUUAACCUGGGAAUGGCAUUCAAGACUGGUUAGCUAGAGUCUUGUAGAGGGGGUAGAAUUCCAUGUGUAGCGGUGAAAUGCGUAGAGAUGUGGAGGAAUACCGGUGGCGAAGGCGGCCCCCUGGACAAAGACUGACGCUCAUGUGCGAAAGCGUGGGGAGCAAACAGGGAUUAGAUACC